UGACUCCUGCGCCAUGACCGGUGACCCCGGUCUUGCGGCUGGGUGUGGGCGUUCGCUUUUGCUGUAGCGCAGCCGGUAGUGUUCCCUCACAUCUCGAGACCCGCAUCCCGUCCUUCUCUCUCCUCCUCCUUUCUCCUCGUCAGCCAUCAAUCCGCCUCCUCGCUGCUCCGGUUUACUCCACCGAUUUCUCUCCGGCUGCCGGCCUCCCAGCCCCCCACCUCACAACGGCAUUUCCUGAGGAGCAGCGCGAGCGAGGCCAACAGGCGGAAGGAUCGGAUCGUGGCCUCGCACGCUGGCUCGUCAUCUGCUUUGGCACCUUUCGGAUCUGCGCUGCUGCGUGCGAUGGUUCUAAAUCAGUGCAGGUCGUCGCCGCGGGAUAGUAGGGCCGGCGGAUUCUUCGCAUCGGGGGCUGGCUGGCAGGGGAGGGUUAGGAGGCCGGCAUGACUUGCUAACGAGCAUAGGUCGGCCGCGCUCUCGCUUUGACCGCUUUGCUCUCUUUCUCCUCCUCGUUGUGUUGCGCUCUCUCUCUCUCUCUUCGAUUGGAUUUCCUCUCCUUCACCGGUGGUGCUCUCGUCGGCUGCAAUGUCGUCCAUACUCUGGACGGGACUAUUGGUUGAUUAUCUUGCCAUCCGUUCUUCCUUCGGCGAUUAAUUGAGGAUGGAGCAGCAGGCAUAGAUGAAAUCUACUGCCAAUUUCUAUUGGUUGUGGCAUCUUCCGCUGAGUAACUCUACGAAACAGCCUGCUAGCAUUGAUUCUUGCAAUAAAAAAAUAAGUCUAGCAUCAUUCAUAAAAAGCUUAUAGACUUAGAUAAUUUCUUAAUCUUGCACUGGUUCUCACCAGUGAGAUUGUACAUGUGGUAUUUUGAGAAUACCAGUGUAAUUCACUGGUCCAAAAGCUCCAUUUCUUAAUGUGUUUUUGCAGAAUGCUACCAGUAAUGUUUUUCUUUUCCUUAAUGUACAAACAUAUCUAUUAGAUAUGAUUUUGGAUCUGAACUUUUCCCUGUCUGCAGCUCACAUUGUGGUAUGGUCAUGGUACAGCAAAAGGAAAAGAUGUUUAAACUUUUUUUGGGCGUCAUACAUGAAAAGUACCUUUAUUUCCAUCGAGCUUAAUUACUAAGAAAAUGUUACCACUAUUUCCUUACUAAUAAACCUAAAUGUUCUGAAAGUUCGGUCUCUUGCUCUCUUUGCUUAUGAAUCGGACACUUUGCCUUUCUUUAGUCCUUACACGGUUCCACCUCGCUUUGACUUCAUACUUUGAUGGUGUUUGUAGGUAUGAAGAGUGGUCAUAAUGUUACUUAAAGGAGGCCUCAACUCGCACCAAAUACAUGGGCAUGUGCAACAGCAACUUAUGUAGGUGAGUAGCUAUUUAUGCUUAGUUUUGACUUGAGUACAAAAAAGAGCUUACUGACAUAUACAAGAGAAUAGGCUACCCAUUCUUGAAUUGAAUCAGAUUGGUAGACUAAACCACGGUGGUGUACUCUUUGCUGCUGAGUUAUUACAAUCCAACUGAAAAUAAGGGGAAAACAAACAUGAUCCUGCCAUUUAAAUUAUCUCAUAUUUGUGGAGAAAAGUUGCAUAGUUAGCUAUUGCAAAAUACUAUCGACCCAGUUUUUGUUCAAUAGACGUCCCUUCUUCGAAUGUAGCUUGAACCUGCGCGAGGGCAUGGUAGCAUGCUCAUUCUAUUUUUUUACUAAGGUGGUUACACUUUCCUACUUUUUGCUGAAAGAGAGUCAAUUUAGUCAUGAGCUAUAGCGACGUUUCUGUUUACUGAAUUUCGUUUUGCAGUUCCCUUCUCUUGAAUGUUUAUUCAAAUGUGCCUAAUGUUUUUUUUUCAAGUUUGUAAAAACUAAUAAAUGCUGCUCUCAAAUCAGUUAGGAGGCUGAAGGUAGUAGCUUACUGAACUCUCAUUUCCGGAAAAAUCUGGAGAUGUCUUGUUUGUACAAUCUCUAAAGAUGGUGCUCCAUUGUUCUGUUAAUCAAGAUUUGUUCCCUCCUUUCUUACUAGCUGAUACGUGAUGACCGUUUGCACGGGGGGUUAUGUUAACUAUAUUCUAUUCAUGAUUCAAACUUUUUGUUGGGUAAUUUAGUUUAGACAUUGUGUCCUGAGAAUCUUGAUAUCUAGCUGUAUCGGUAUAGUGUAGUUUGUGAUUUUCCCUCUGAAUUUAUAUAUCCACUCAGGUUGGGAUAGGUUAUGAGUAUUCUUAGUGUGGAAACAGCGGCAGUGCUGCACUUUCAUCAGAUGAUGAUAUGCCAACUUUGCGCCAUUUGGCUCUAUGUUACCCGAAUAAGAUAACAAAAUACACAUGCUCAAGUAUAUAUUUUCAAAGAUGAAUUAUCCUUCAUUUUC
This is a long non-coding RNA of Triticum aestivum (bread wheat), 2345 nucleotides long. RefSeq lists it as uncharacterized. The record is from RefSeq and is a predicted model, not a curated record. The transcript is spliced from 4 exons. Lineage: Eukaryota; Viridiplantae; Streptophyta; Magnoliopsida; Poales; Poaceae.